Molecule: ribosomal RNA, 321 nt
Filed under: Schmidingerella taraikaensis
Lineage: Eukaryota; Ciliophora; Spirotrichea; Tintinnida; Rhabdonellidae
Description: partial Bacterial large subunit ribosomal RNA
Rfam family: Bacterial large subunit ribosomal RNA
Source: RNAcentral
GGCUUUGAAGCGGUGACGCCAGUCAUCGUGGAGCCUCCCUUGAGAUACCACCCUUCGCACUCUUGAUGUCUAACCGCGGUCCGUUAUCCGGAUCCGGGACCCUGCGUGGCGGGUAGUUUGACUGGGGCGGUCGCCUCCCAAAGAGUAACGGAGGCGCGCGAUGGUAGGCUCAAGCUGGUCGGAAAUCAGCUGUUGAGUGCAAUGGCAUAAGCCUGCCUGACUGCGAGACUGACGAGUCGAGCAGAGACGAAAGUCGGUCAUAGUGAUCCGGUGGUCCCUCGUGGAAGGGCCAUCGCUCAACGGAUAAAAGGUACGCCGGGG